This 86-nucleotide transfer RNA is filed under the name Myoviridae sp. ctu2j3. Its description in RNAcentral is "tRNA-Ser". It matches the Rfam family "tRNA". From Rfam's summary of the family: Transfer RNA (tRNA) molecules are approximately 80 nucleotides in length. Their secondary structure includes four short double-helical elements and three loops (D, anti-codon, and T loops). Lineage: Duplodnaviria; Heunggongvirae; Uroviricota; Caudoviricetes. The record is from RNAcentral.
GGAAGUGUGGCCGAGUGGUUUAAGGCUCCGGUCUUGAAAACCGGCGAGGGCUUUGUCCUCCGUGAGUUCGAAUCUCACCGCUUCCG